CAACCAUUUCGAACAAUCGCGCGGUAACAUACCGAAAGGUCUUACCGUGAGGAAAGUCCGGGCUUCACAGAUCAGGAUAACGGAUAACUUCCGCCGAAGGCGACUUCCGGGCCAGUGCAACAGAAAUAAACCGCCUGAAUUUUUUUCAGGUAAGGAUGGAAAGGCGAGGUAAGAACUCACCGGUGUGUCGGAGACGGCACAGCCAUGUAAACCCUAUCCGAAGCAACACCCUAUCGGGCGCUAAUGCUUGCUCGGCAGCCCACUGGGUGGC
This 271-nucleotide RNase P RNA is filed under the name Clostridia bacterium. RNAcentral's name for it is "partial RNase P RNA component class A". It matches the Rfam family "Bacterial RNase P class A", at positions 1 to 279 of the family's 367-position model. From Rfam's summary of the family: Ribonuclease P (RNase P) is a ubiquitous endoribonuclease, found in archaea, bacteria and eukarya as well as chloroplasts and mitochondria. Its best characterised activity is the generation of mature 5'-ends of tRNAs by cleaving the 5'-leader elements of precursor-tRNAs. The record is from RNAcentral. Lineage: Bacteria; Bacillati; Bacillota; Clostridia.